AUUGAACGCUGGCGGCAGGCCUAACACAUGCAAGUCGAACGGUAACAGGAAACAGCUUGCUGUUUCGCGGACGAGGGGCGGACGGGUGAGAAAUGUGUGGGAAACUGCCGGAUGGAGGGGGAUAACUACUGGAAACGGUAGCUAAUACCGCAGAACGCCGCAAGACCAAAGAGGGGGAGCUGCGGGCCGCUGGCCGGCGGAGGUGCCCAGAUGGGAUGAGCGAGUAGGUGGGGUAACGGCUCACCUAGGCUACGGGGCCUAGCUGGUCUGAGAGGAUGAGGAGCCACCCUGGAACUGAGACCCGGUCCAGACUCCUACGGGAGCCAGCCGUGGGGCAUAUUGCACAAUGGGCGCAAGCCUGAUGCAGCCAUGCCGCGUGUAUGAGGAAGGCCUUCGGGUUGUAAAGUACUUUCAGCGGGGAUGAAGGCAGUAACGUUAAUACCUUUGCUCAUUGACGUUACCCGCAGAAGAAGCCCCGGCUAACUCCGGG
RNAcentral lists this ribosomal RNA (490 nucleotides) under uncultured bacterium. RNAcentral describes it as "partial 16S ribosomal RNA". It matches the Rfam family "Bacterial small subunit ribosomal RNA", at positions 29 to 507 of the family's 1533-position model. The record is from RNAcentral.